Molecule: ribosomal RNA, 669 nt
Filed under: Vibrio sp. 03_296
Lineage: Bacteria; Pseudomonadati; Pseudomonadota; Gammaproteobacteria; Vibrionales; Vibrionaceae
Description: bacterial SSU rRNA
Rfam family: Bacterial small subunit ribosomal RNA
Source: RNAcentral
CUGGGGAGUACGGUCGCAAGAUUAAAACUCAAAUGAAUUGACGGGGGCCCGCACAAGCGGUGGAGCAUGUGGUUUAAUUCGAUGCAACGCGAAGAACCUUACCUACUCUUGACAUCCAGAGAAUCUAGCGGAGACGCUGGAGUGCCUUCGGGAACUCUGAGACAGGUGCUGCAUGGCUGUCGUCAGCUCGUGUUGUGAAAUGUUGGGUUAAGUCCCGCAACGAGCGCAACCCUUAUCCUUGUUUGCCAGCGAGUAAUGUCGGGAACUCCAGGGAGACUGCCGGUGAUAAACCGGAGGAAGGUGGGGACGACGUCAAGUCAUCAUGGCCCUUACGAGUAGGGCUACACACGUGCUACAAUGGCGCAUACAGAGGGCUGCCAACUUGCGAAAGUGAGCGAUCCCAAAAAGUGCGUCGUAGUCCGGAUUGGAGUCUGCAACUCGACUCCAUGAAGUCGGAAUCGCUAGUAAUCGUGGAUCAGAAUGCCACGGUGAAUACGUUCCCGGGCCUUGUACACACCGCCCGUCACACCAUGGGAGUGGGCUGCAAAAGAAGUGGGUAGUUUAACCUUCGGGAGGACGCUCACCACUUUGUGGUUCAUGACUGGGGUGAAGUCGUAACAAGGUAGCGCUAGGGGAACCUGGCGCUGGAUCACCUCCUUAUACGAUGAU